UACCUCUCAACCCCGCCCCAUUCUUUGUGAAUGGGGUAGAUUAGGGCUUGGAUCAUGAUGCGUGCGAUUGAUUUCGCUGCAUUGAAAUACAACAAGCUGGAUCCUUAUCUUGCGGCUUGACCUGUUGUUGUAACUUGAAAAUCAAUGGGAACGCAAUUUUAGAGGAAGGGGCUUACCAGAAACGUCUGCUACAGACACAAGUGCA
This 205-nucleotide unclassified non-coding RNA is filed under the name uncultured fungus. Its description in RNAcentral is "sequence contains ITS2". The record is from RNAcentral. Lineage: Eukaryota; Fungi.